This 905-nucleotide ribosomal RNA is filed under the name Ganoderma sp. RNAcentral describes it as "partial large subunit ribosomal RNA". It matches the Rfam family "Eukaryotic large subunit ribosomal RNA", at positions 64 to 960 of the family's 3401-position model. Lineage: Eukaryota; Fungi; Basidiomycota; Agaricomycetes; Polyporales; Polyporaceae. The record is from RNAcentral.
ACUAACAAGGAUUCCCCUAGUAACUGCGAGUGAAGCGGGAAAAGCUCAAAUUUAAAAUCUGGCGGUCUUUGGCCGUCCGAGUUGUAGUCUGGAGAAGUGCUUUCCGCGCUGGACCGUGUAUAAGUCUCUUGGAACAGAGCGUCAUAGAGGGUGAGAAUCCCGUCUUUGACACGGACUACCAGUGCUUUGUGAUGCGCUCUCAAAGAGUCGAGUUGUUUGGGAAUGCAGCUCAAAAUGGGUGGUGAAUUCCAUCUAAAGCUAAAUAUUGGCGAGAGACCGAUAGCGAACAAGUACCGUGAGGGAAAGAUGAAAAGCACUUUGGAAAGAGAGUUAAACAGUACGUGAAAUUGCUGAAAGGGAAACGCUUGAAGUCAGUCGCGUCGUCCGGAACUCAGCCUUGCUUUCGCUUGGUGCACUUUCCGGAUGACGGGUCAGCAUCGAUUUUGACCGUCGGAAAAGGGCUGGAGUAAUGUGGCACCUCCGGGUGUGUUAUAGACUCUGGUCGCAUACGGCGGUUGGGAUCGAGGAACGCAGCGCGCCGCAAGGCAGGGGUUCGCCCACUUUCGCGCUUAGGAUGCUGGCAUAAUGGCUUUAAACGACCCGUCUUGAAACACGGACCAAGGAGUCUAACAUACCUGCGAGUGUUUGGGUGGAAAACCCGAGCGCGUAAUGAAAGUGAAAGUUGAGAUCCCUGUCGUGGGGAGCACCGACGCCCGGACCUGACGUUCUCUGACGGAUCCGCGGUAGAGCAUGUAUGUUGGGACCCGAAAGAUGGUGAACUAUGCCUGAAUAGGGUGAAGCCAGAGGAAACUCUGGUGGAGCUCGUAGCGAUUCUGACGUGCAAAUCGAUCGUCAAUUUGGUAUAGGGCGAAAGACUAAUCGAACCAUCUAGUAGCUGGGUCUGC